This 253-nucleotide ribosomal RNA is filed under the name uncultured bacterium. Its description in RNAcentral is "partial 16S ribosomal RNA". It matches the Rfam family "Bacterial small subunit ribosomal RNA", at positions 524 to 776 of the family's 1533-position model. The record is from RNAcentral.
UACAGGGGGGGCAAGCGUUGUUCGGAAUUACUGGGCGUAAAGGGUUCGUAGGUGGCCACUUAAGUCAGACGUGAAAUCCCCCGGCUUAACCUGGGAACUGCGUCUGAUACUGGAUGGCUAGAGUUUGGGAGAGGGAUGCGGAAUUCCAGGUGUAGCGGUGAAAUGCGUAGAUAUCUGGAGGAACACCGGUGGCGAAGGCGGCAUCCUGGACCAACACUGACGCUGAGGAGCGAAAGCCAGGGGAGCAAACGGG